Haemorhous mexicanus (house finch) is the source of this 932-nucleotide long non-coding RNA. RefSeq lists it as uncharacterized. The record is from RefSeq and is a predicted model, not a curated record. NCBI's taxonomy places the organism in Eukaryota, Metazoa, Chordata, Aves, Passeriformes, Fringillidae. The transcript has 4 exons.
ACCUAUGUACUUCUCCCCAGCAACACUCUGGGCUAAAGAUCACUGGCCUGUUUGCUCCUCCUCACCCUGCUGGGACAGCCUGGCUGCUGGGUUUUACAGACACUGCUCAGGAGGCACUUUGCUUGUGGGACUUGCUGAGCCAAGGAUGCACAGGUGCUAGAGGGAAACAGGGAAACAAAGUAGAGCAAGAUGCACAUCCUGAGCAGCAGCAGCAGCCCUCUCCAGGAAAGGGAGCCUGGAUGGAUUGUAAUGCACAUGGAUAGACUGAAAUGCUCAGCAGAUGAUUUUGCUUAAAUCUCAAAUGCAACCAUGGGAGCAUCUUCCCAAGAUCCUGAAUUAUGCCUGCUGCUAACCACACUCCAGGAGUUCUCGGGCCCCCUCAGCCUGCCUUGCAGUGGAAGUGCCCUGUUGUGUGUAUUUGUGCUGAGUGGAUGCUGCUCCACACCUCCAGCUCCCCACCCUGCAUUCCUCUUCUGCAUUCUUUUCAAGUGAGGCUUUGUGUCAUAUUCAGAAGCUUCUGAGAAGAGGAUGAAAGAAUUCUAGAGCAGUGAGAACAAAGAGGCGUGUUUGAAGGGAGAGAAAACUUAUUUAGGGAAAAAAACACAGGAAAUAAAAGAAGUUUCACUGUGAUUCUACACGUUAGUGAGCAGAAUUGUUCAAGCAUUAUUAAAAGAUAUGAAAUAGGGAACAAACUGUAAGAUUUGUAGUAGCAAUCAGCUUAUUUUUCUGUGCCUUCAUGCUUUACAGAGCUGAAAUAAUUUCAGUGUGCUCUGUUUCCUCUCUAAAUGAGCAUUUCACCACAGUUUGUAACCUCCCAGCUCAUCUCAAAAGGGGCACCAGUGCUAGAGGCAGACACUAAUGAGCCUCUGUAUUCUAAUUGUAUGAAUAUACUGAAGAAUAGAAAUAAAGGCUGUGAAACAGAUUGCAAAGAA